This 104-nucleotide ribosomal RNA is filed under the name Shigella boydii. The record is from RNAcentral. Lineage: Bacteria; Pseudomonadati; Pseudomonadota; Gammaproteobacteria; Enterobacterales; Enterobacteriaceae.
CGCGCGGUGGUCCCACCUGACCCCAUGCCGAACUCAGAAGUGAAACGCCGUAGCGCCGAUGGUAGUGUGGGGUCUCCCCAUGCGAGAGUAGGGAACUGCCAGGC